Molecule: ribosomal RNA, 498 nt
Filed under: uncultured bacterium
Lineage: Bacteria
Description: partial 16S ribosomal RNA
Rfam family: Bacterial small subunit ribosomal RNA
Source: RNAcentral
GACGAACGCUGGCGGCGUGCCUAAUACAUGCAAGUCGAGCGGACGGAUGGGAGCUUGCUCCCAGACCGUCAGCGGCAGACGGGUGAGUAACACGUGGGCAACCUGCCUGUAAGACUGGGAUAACUCCGGGAAACCGGGGCUAAUACCGGAUAACUCUUUCCCUCACAUGAGGGAAAGCUGAAAGAUGGCAUCUCGCUAUCACUUACAGAUGGGCCCGCGGCGCAUUAGCUAGUUGGUGAGGUAACGGCUCACCAAGGCGACGAUGCGUAGCCGACCUGAGAGGGUGAUCGGCCACACUGGGACUGAGACACGGCCCAGACUCCUACGGGAGGCAGCAGUAGGGAAUCUUCCGCAAUGGACGAAAGUCUGACGGAGCAACGCCGCGUGAGUGAUGAAGGUUUUCGGAUCGUAAAACUCUGUUGUCAGGGAAGAACAAGUACCGGAGUAACUGCCGGUACCUUGACGGUACCUGACCAGAAAGCCACGGCUAACUACGUG